This 62-nucleotide transfer RNA is filed under the name Caligus rogercresseyi. Its description in RNAcentral is "tRNA-Pro". The record is from RNAcentral. Lineage: Eukaryota; Metazoa; Arthropoda; Copepoda; Siphonostomatoida; Caligidae.
AUUGGAGUAGUUUAUAUAAAAUACUGACUUUGGGAGUCAGAGAAAAACCUGUUUUUCCGAUA